CUUCACCGAACCCAGCCACAGCGGCCGCCCGCCCGGCCGCUGCUGCCCAUAGGUGGCGAGCAGUGCCUGGGCCUC
RNAcentral lists this antisense RNA (75 nucleotides) under Streptomyces sp. NRRL B-1568. RNAcentral's name for it is "ASpks sRNA". It matches the Rfam family "ASpks TB sRNA". The record is from RNAcentral. Lineage: Bacteria; Bacillati; Actinomycetota; Actinomycetes; Kitasatosporales; Streptomycetaceae.